AGCCCGGUCGUCUAGCGGCCAAAGGACCCAGCCCGGCUACGGAUGCGGGGCUUUGGAGCCGCAAGGCGGAGAAACCCCGUGGCCCGGGUUCGAAUCCCGGCCGGGCUA
This 108-nucleotide transfer RNA is filed under the name Thermoproteus tenax Kra 1. RNAcentral's name for it is "transfer RNA-Gln(TTG)". Lineage: Archaea; Thermoproteati; Thermoproteota; Thermoprotei; Thermoproteales; Thermoproteaceae. The record is from RNAcentral.